RNAcentral lists this ribosomal RNA (243 nucleotides) under uncultured bacterium. RNAcentral describes it as "partial 16S ribosomal RNA". It matches the Rfam family "Bacterial small subunit ribosomal RNA", at positions 335 to 576 of the family's 1533-position model. The record is from RNAcentral.
GGCCUACGGGGCGCAGCAGUGAGGAAUAUUGGUCAAUGGCCGCAGGGCUGAACCAGCCAAGUCGCGUGAGGGAUGACGGUCCUAUGGAUUGUAAACCUCUUUUGUCAGGGAGCAAAGGACGCCACGUGUGGCGUUCCGAGAGUACCCGAAGAAAAAGCAUCGGCUAACUCCGUGCCAGCAGCCGCGGUAAUACGGAGGAUGCGAGCGUUAUCCGGAUUUAUUGGGUUUAAAGGGUGCGCAGGC